RNAcentral lists this long non-coding RNA (282 nucleotides) under Zonotrichia albicollis (white-throated sparrow). RNAcentral's name for it is "lncRNA (ENSZALG00000013366.1)". The record is from RNAcentral. Lineage: Eukaryota; Metazoa; Chordata; Aves; Passeriformes; Passerellidae.
CACUAAGGUUGUCUCACUUAUUUAACUUGACACAGGGAGUCCCCUCUGAGGUCUUUGAGAUUCCAGCCAGCAUUGGAAGUGACAGCCCAGAUAAGGCAGAAAGAGUUGAAUUUGCUACUUACCAAGAGAAGAAAAACAACACAAGAGUUUGGUGAAUGGGCAUGCUUUGGAUUCACACUGGAUCCUGGAAACAGAAUUGUCCCCUGUGGAUGUAGAAGUAUCAUGGUAACUCUCCUCAGGUUGCAUCUGCCAUCUUAUCAGAGCAAUCUGACUGCACUGAAG